This 484-nucleotide ribosomal RNA is filed under the name uncultured bacterium. Its description in RNAcentral is "bacterial SSU rRNA". It matches the Rfam family "Bacterial small subunit ribosomal RNA", at positions 15 to 507 of the family's 1533-position model. The record is from RNAcentral.
GAUCAUGGCUCAGGAUGAACGCUGGCGGCGUGCUUAACACAUGCAAGUCGAACGAAGACAUCUGAGUACUUGCACUUGGAUGGACUGAGUGGCGGACGGGUGAGUAACGCGUGGGUAACCUGCCUUAUACAGGGGGGAUAACAGUUGGAAACGACUGCUAAUACCGCAUAAGCGCACGGUAUCGCAUGAUACAGUGUGAAAAACUCCGGUGGUAUAAGAUGGACCCGCGUCUGAUUAGCUAGUUGGUGAGGUAAGGGGCUCACCAAGGCAACGAUCAGUAGCCGACCUGAGAGGGUGACCGGCCACAUUGGGACUGAGACACGGCCCAAACUCCUACGGGAGGCAGCAGUGGGGAAUAUUGCACAAUGGGGGAAACCCUGAUGCAGCGACGCCGCGUGAGUGAUGAAGUAUUUCGGUAUGUAAAACUCUAUCAGCAGGGAAGAUAAUGACGGUACCUGACUAAGAAGCACCGGCUAAAUACGUG